CCUACGGGGGGCAGCAGUGGGGAAUAUUGGACAAUGGGCGAAAGCCUGAUCCAGCCAUGCCGCGUGUGUGAAGAAGGCCUUCGGGUUGUAAAGCACUUUCAGUGGGGAAGAAAGCCUUGGGGCUAAUACCCUCGAGGAAGGACAUCACCCACAGAAGAAGCACCGGCUAACUCCGUGGCCAGCAGCCGCGGUAAUACGGAGGGUGCGAGCGUUAAUCGGAAUUACUGGGCGUAAAGCGCGCGUAGGCGGUCUGAUAAGCCGGUUGUGAAAGCCCCGGGCUCAACCUGGGAACGGCAUCCGGAACUGUCAGGCUAGAGUGCAGGAGAGGAAGGUAGAAUUCCCGGUGUAGCGGUGAAAUGCGUAGAGAUCGGGAGGAAUACCAGUGGCGAAGGCGGCCUUCUGGACUGACACUGACGCUGAGGUGCGAAAGCGUGGGUAGCAAACAGGAUUAGAUACCCUGGUAGUC
Molecule: ribosomal RNA, 466 nt
Filed under: Vreelandella stevensii
Lineage: Bacteria; Pseudomonadati; Pseudomonadota; Gammaproteobacteria; Oceanospirillales; Halomonadaceae
Description: partial 16S ribosomal RNA
Rfam family: Bacterial small subunit ribosomal RNA
Source: RNAcentral